RNAcentral lists this long non-coding RNA (2651 nucleotides) under Sus scrofa (pig). Its description in RNAcentral is "lncRNA (ENSSSCG00030039714.1, ENSSSCG00050077095.1, ENSSSCG00060078581.1, ENSSSCG00105036621.1)". Lineage: Eukaryota; Metazoa; Chordata; Mammalia; Artiodactyla; Suidae. The record is from RNAcentral. RNAcentral also lists the same sequence under 1 other name.
AUGCGCGGGGUCCCGGCGCCUCUGCCGGCUGCGGACGGCUCCCGCCCCGCUCUGGUCCCGGGGACGCCUCUCCGUAGCUGCGAACGGCUGCGCGGGGCGGUGGGCCUGGGUGAGGGAGCACCUGGCAUCCUGGCGCUCCUCUGCUCGCUGUGCGCCACUCCGUCCCGCCCUGCUCCUUGCCCACUGCACCGCCUCCGGGCCUGGACGAGGAGAGCGCAGUGAGGACCCUGGGCCUUCAGAGACUUGAGCCCUCGCAGCUGGUCAGAGCUCAAGCAAUUAGAACAGGAAGAAGCUGCAUCUCAAGCUCCGAGGUCUGGAGAAGCACAGAUGCAAGGACAUUGCCGAGCAAAGCAUUUCCUUGAGAGGGCCUGGCAGGGCCCUGCCCAGGAGAGGCUGUGGAAAGCUGCCCUUCACUGAGUGCCACUGUGUGCCAGGCACGUGUCAUCUUUAAAACUCUCUUGUGAGACCUUACAGAUGGGCAGCGUCAUUUCUGGCUCCUGAGACACUCAUUCUUGGAGCCUCCCUGCUGGUACUGCGAGAAACCCCAAGGGCCUGCUGGAGAAGCCCAGGCGGAAGGGACCCUACCUGCCAACCACGUGAGGGAGGAAGAAAGCCCUGGCCGACUGCACACAGAGCAGAGCUGAGGGCUCCCCACCGAGCCCUGCCCACACCGCACACUGCACAUGAACAGACAUUCGGGGAUACUUGUUAUGCGGCUACAGAUAAGUAGAACGGGCCCGCCGCAAGGGGGACAAAGGGGGCCGGUCUGGUGGGACAGGUCAGGAGGGUGGCUUUGGCUGGACCUGGAGAUGCCCAGACUCCCAACAGGCCAGGGCAGGUCCCCGAGGCAGGGCUUGGAGAAGAAGUGAGCCCUGGGGCCGAGGUGGAGCUAAGGAGAGAGGACUGGAAGGGCUCCCUCCAAGCCCUCACCCCUUCGGGCAGAGGGCUAGCCCUGCUGGGCUGGCGAGCAUCUACAGGCCGCCAUGUCCCAAUGAAAGGAUGAAAGGAACCGCCCAGGCCCCCCCGCCAGCACCCCCUGAUGGUCUGGGUUCCCCAUCCCCUCAUGUCCCUGGCCUUCAGCCCCCACACUCUGCCUCUGACUAUCCUUUUGCGGGUCUGACUCCCUUGUCCUGGAGUGAUCUGUGCCAUGAGUCCCUGGACAUAAGAACGUGUCUGGAACUUGGCUCUGCUUGGAGCCCCCUCCUCCAGGCAGACGCCCCUGGCUGCUCCCACCCCCCCUGCGCUUGCUCUGCAGACAUUCACAGGACACUCGCACUUGCUCUCCAGUGGCUCCCGGGGCCGGGCUGGGGGCCGGGGGGGUUGGGGGACAGCCCUGCCUCCGCACCAGCCUGCGAGCUUCCUGAGGACAGCGCCCAUGCCCCUCUACUGCCCUCACCAAGCAGCUAGGCUGGACAUCAGGGUCCUCCUCCCUCCCCAGGGGGCAUUGGUAGGGCCCUCGAAGCUUGUGCCCCUGGAGCAGCUCCCAAGAAGACAGUCCUAUGAAUGCAGCUAUCAGUGACUUCAGGGCGAGGGACCCUGGCUGGGACGGGUGCCAGAGGGCAGAGGCCCCAGCUGGGUCCCUGGCUGGCCGGGUGGCCCCGGGUGCCUGGCGCACACUGUCUGGGCCCGCUCCCCUCUCUGGGAAAGGAGGGGGCGGAGGAGCUGAUUUCUGAGGUCCCUUCCAGCUCAAACACCUUAUGUUCUAUGAAAUCCGCGUGAACGUUGCCAUGGAGAUGUCACAGAGGAACUGCAGCAGCACAGAAUGUGACUUCCUUUCGAGUCACCUGAGGAAGCUGCUCGUGUCAGAGAAGCCCUCCCCCCACCGCCCCCAGAAGCCUGGGUGCACAGAGCCACACCGAGGGUCCUGCUCCCAAGAGGACACCAUCACCUCCCUCCCUUUCCCUCCCGUGGUCCUGAGGCCCCGCAGGGAGCGAGGGGUGGGUGUCCAUCCCUGCCCGAGGGGACAAGGACCUCUGUGGGAGGGCCGGAGCCCAGGGCUCUGCCCUUGCAGUUGGGCUUGCAAGGCCUGCCCUCUGGCCCUGCUUCCCACAGCUGCUCGGGUCCUGAUACCCAAGGACCCCAGGAGACCUCAGGACCCAAAAGUGUGCCCGCUGCAGAGUGGAGGCCUCCCUCUUCCCCAGACCCUGCAUUGAGGCCCCUGGUGGCAGGGACCCCUGGGCUUGGGCACGCAACACCCCCAGCUGCCUCACGGCUCCUGAGGGCCACGUGGGGCCUCGUGGCAGGGGAGGCACGAGUGGAAAGGAAGAAAAUGAGCCCCAGGGUAACCAUCACAACCACUGAUGCCUGAGCACUGGCAGCCCCUGGAGCAGACCGAGGGUUUCGUGGGCGUGGCCUCUUCUUCUUUUUGCUUAAUUAUAAAAAUGUGUUUUGCAGGCAUGUCAACGACACGAAAGGAAAAGGCACGGAUAAAUGCCGAGGUCCAGCCCCAGCAGCCAGGGAGUGCCGAAGGAGAGGAUGGGCUACAAACGGCGCGGAAAGAAUUGGAGCCAACUCCUCAGCUGCAUGCUGCAGAUGACCCAAUUUAUUAAAUGAAAAGCAUCAGUUUUUAUACCCUAUUACAAUCAGGAUUCGUGUAAGAUUUGACAUUAACAUUUGAUUUAAAGCCCUUUUGUUCCCUCCACCUGAGAUAC